AGCGAACGCUGGCGGCAGGCCUAACACAUGCAAGUCGAACGAACUCUUCGGAGUUAGUGGCGGACGGGUGAGUAACACGUGGGAACGUGCCUUUUGGUUCGGAAUAACUCAGGGACACUUGUGCUAAUACCGAAUGUGCCCUUCGGGGGAAAGAUUUAUCGCCAUUGGAGCGGCCCGCGUCUGAUUAGCUAGUUGGUGAGGUAACGGCUCACCAAGGCGACGAUCAGUAGCUGGUCUGUGAGGCAGACCAGCCACACUGGGACUGAGACACGGCCCAGACUCCUACGGGAGGCAGCAGUGGGGAAUCUUGCGCAAUGGGCGAAAGCCUGACGCAGCCAUGCCGCGUGAAUGAUGAAGGUCUUAGGAUUGUAAAAUUCUUUCACCUGUGACGAUAAUGACGGUACCCGGAGAAGAAGCCCCGGCUAACUUCGUG
Molecule: ribosomal RNA, 433 nt
Filed under: uncultured bacterium
Lineage: Bacteria
Description: partial 16S ribosomal RNA
Rfam family: Bacterial small subunit ribosomal RNA
Source: RNAcentral